GCUCAUCAAUUGGUUGUGGCU
This 21-nucleotide microRNA is filed under the name Anopheles gambiae (African malaria mosquito). RNAcentral describes it as "aga-miR-2c-5p". Its record names the gene aga-miR-2c-5p. Lineage: Eukaryota; Metazoa; Arthropoda; Insecta; Diptera; Culicidae. The record is from miRBase by way of RNAcentral.